UAUGCCUUGCUACUAAUGAACAAAUGUAGCGGGUUUUCUCUGUAAGACUAUAAUAUGUCAAAAUUACCAAAAUGUUUGAUAUCCAAUAACCGAUGUCCUCCAGUGGUGUCGUUAAAGAAAAUAAUCUUCAACUUUGUCCUUAUUAGUUUCCAGUCUUGAUGACACCCACAACAACACUACAAUUGGUCGACCUACUUGUAACCACAAGAGAAACAUUUUGAAGUCAUUUAUAUAAUUACAUUUUUUUAAAGAAAGAAGAAGAAGGAAACGUAUUUCUAAACCGAACUAUAUAUUAAAUUGUAGUAUUACUUAUUAAAUUACAAGAUGAAUAGUGGUGCCUCAAGUAUCCGUUUUUAAUACAAAUGAAAAAUACUAUACUUUUUUUUAACUUGCCUUAUAUUAAUGGGUUUGAUGACCUUCAGUAUUGUAGCUGCCAUGUGUUCGAGAUGAGUGUGUGGUUAGUGACGGGUGAGCAUGUGUCCCCAGCUACAGCUCGGACGACAGCCAUAAUUACAAAACCUGCUUUCCUUGCCAUGUAUGUAACAUUCAAUCGUACCCGUCCAGGCAUCCUGGAAUACCCAUUGUAUUGUAUCAACUCUAUUUGCGUGCCUAUAUCCAAUUAAGGUCCAAGCUCGUCCUCUCUGGGCACACAUUUUGACUUCGCCAAAGUCCGAGUCCAGGGUAGAAAAGAAAUAUUAACAAAACCGUAUCUCUACACAAUAUAGAGUCGAACGGGUAUUUGACAAAAAAUGGUUGUUGCUAAAAAACAUUAACAUAGCCAGUUCAUCAAAUACACGCGACUAAGACAAGUGGGUAAAAUGAUGAGUUUUGACAGUCUUCAAUCUGAUAACUGUUCGUGGGUACACUCUAUAGACGUCGCCGAGUCUUUGUCUAAAUCUACGUUAAGUGUAAGUUUUGUUGAUGUGUCCUCUUUGAGCGGUGCGGGAACGAUGUAUUAUCCAGUAAGGAAUCUCGGGAAUGGCUGUCCUCCUACAGAACAGACAUGCAGCUUAAUUCUUGGUCAUAUCGUGUUUGAAUGUCUGGGGUGGCAGUCCUCUUUGAGCGGUGCGGGAACGAUUAUUGUCCGGUAAAGAAUCUCCUCGGGAGUGGCUGUCCCCUACAGAACAGGCAUACAGCUUAAUUCUUGGUCAUAUCUUGUUUGAAUGACUGUGGUGGCAGUCCUCUGAGCGGUUUGCUGGAACGAUGUAUUAUCCAGUACGGAAUCUCCUCGGGAGUGGCUGUCCUCCUACACAACAGGCAUUAGAUAGAGAUUCAUAGGAUCAACCACUAUUUUUGCCAAAUGCCCGUUCGACUCUGCAUUGUGCUGAGAUACGGUUUUGAUCGUGGAUAACCGUUUAGUUGUUAAGAUAAUACAGCUUUAAUUAUUGAUGUUAAAUACGAGCCAGUUUUAAUUAGAAGAUAUUUAUAUCUUUUUUGAUGUUUUUGUUUUGUUUUGUUUUGUCUUGAUUUUCUUUUUCAAAUAUGAUUUGCUUCUUAGCGAGUAAGCAUGCGAUUACGUCACACCAGGCGUUUGUGUAUAGCAUACGUGGUAUGAAAUUAGAUUUAAAUCGUAUUUGACCAAAAACAAAACAAAAACCAAGACAAAACAUAAAAUAUUGUUUUUAUUAUACAACAUUCGUCAUUUUACUUUUAUUCUAAAAUAAUAAUUACAAAAAAUAUCGGAAAGCCAUAAUAAACCAUUUUGACCUGACGUCACUUAAGGUGAAAUAAAAGUUUCUUGAAACAUUUUACUGUGAAGAUGAAACCUUCCAGUUGUUAUUUUCACUUCAACAUAGUUCAUGUCAGACUAUAAAAUCCCUUUAAUAUACUGUACGAAAAGUGUUGAACAUGUUAAUUUUUUUAUUCUGUUAAAAUAAAUGCCCAACGAUUCUAAGCAUUGCAACUUGAACGUGCCCACAAAAUCCCGUAUUUAGCGGGGGGAGGGGGGGGGGGGGGGGGGGGUAAUGAAGCAAAUCUAAUAUCUUGGUCAGAUGAGUGUUUCUGCGGAACAAAGCAUGUUAACGUACUUUAAAAUACUGGGGGGUGGGGGUCAUUUUAAAGGAGCUUACCAUCCCUAAAAAAAAAGUCUGUAUCCGCCCCAUAAACACAAGCAAGUGGAAGCGUGUUUAUGCAAUUCUAAACAAUGUUCGAGAUCUCCGAGUUAAUGGAUCUCUAUUAUUUACGGUGCCUGUUUAGUCCCAUUCUGAGAUCUUCAUUUGCUAUCACCCGAAUAUACCAUGACGAGUCCAUUUGCUAGAUAGGUAAUGCCAAAACUAACCACUGUAGAAGUCACAAAGGGACUUAUCCAAUAUAGCUUUAAUUCUUAAUGUCAGAUAGGAACUGGUCUAAUGCAGGUUUAAUUAUUGAUGUCACACAGGGACGUAUCCAGUAUAGCUUUAAUUCGUAAUGUCAGAUAGGAACUGGUCUAAUGCAGGUUUAAUUCUUGAUGUCACACAGGGACUUGUCCAGUAUAGCUUUAAUUCGUAAUGUCAGAUAGGAACUGGUCUAAUACAGGUUUAAUUACUGAUGUCACACAGGGACUUAUCCAGUAUAGCUUUAAUUCGUAAUGUCAGAUAGGAACUGGUCUACUACAGGUUUAAUUAUUGAUGUCACACAGGGACUUAUCCAGUAUAGCUUUAAUUCGUAAUGUCAGAUAGGAACUGGUCUACUACAGGUUUAAUUAUUGAUGUCACACAGAAACUUAUCAAAUAUAGCUUUAAUUCGUAAUGUCAGAUAGGAACUGGUCUAAUACAGGUUUAAUUAUUGAUGUCACACAGAAACUUAUCAAAUAUAGCUUUAAUUCGUAAUGUCAGAUAGGAACUGGUCUACUACAGGUUUAAUUAUUGAUGUCAUACAGGAACUUAUCCAGUAUAGCUUUAAUUCGUAAUGUCAGAUAGGAACUGGUCUACUACAGGUUUAAUUAUUGAUGUCAUACAGGGACUUAUCCAGUAUAGCUUUAAUUCGUAAUGUCAGAUAGGAACUGGUCUACUACAGGUUUAAUUAUUGAUGUCACACAGGGACUUAUCCAGUAUAGCUUUAAUUCGUAAUGUCAGAUAGGAACUGGUCUACUACAGGUUUAAUUAUUGAUGUCACACAGGGACUUAUCCAGUAUAGCUUUAAUUCGUAAUGUCAGAUAGGAACUGGCCUACUACAGGUUUAAUUAUUGAUGUCACACAGGGACUUAUCCAGUAUAGCUUUAAUUCGUAAUGUCAGAUAGGAACUGGCCUACUACAGGUUUAAUUAUUGAUGUCACACAGGGACUUAUCCAGUAUAGCUUUAAUUCGUAAUGUCAGAUAGGAACUGGUCUACUACAGGUUUAAUUAUUGAUGUCAUACAGGGACUUAUCCAGUAUAGCUUUAAUUCGUAAUGACAGGUGGGAACUGGUCUACUACAGGUUUAAUUAUUGAUGUCACACAGAAACUUAUCAAAUAUAGCUUUAAUUCGUAAUGUCAGAUAGGAACUGGUCUACUACAGGUUUAAUUACUGAUGUCACACAGGGACUUAUCCAGUAUAGCUUUAAUUCGUAAUGUCAGAUAGGAACUGGCCUACUACAGGUUUAAUUAUUGAUGUCAUACAGGGACUUAUCCAGUAUAGCUUUAAUUCGUAAUGUCAGAUAGGAACUGGUCUACUACAGGUUUAAUUAUUGAUGUCACACAGGAACUUAUCCAGUAUAGCUUUAAUUCGUAAUGUCAGAUAGGAACUGGUCUACUACAGGUUUAAUUAUUGAUGUCACACAGGGACUUAUCCAGUAUAGCUUUAAUUCGUAAUGUCAGAUAGGAACUGGCCUACUACAGGUUUAAUUAUUGAUGUCACACAGGGACUUAUCCAGUAUAGCUUUAAUUCGUAAUGUCAGAUAGGAACUGGUCUACUACAGGUUUAAUUAUUGAUGUCAUACAGGGACUUAUCCAGUAUAGCUUUAAUUCGUAAUGACAGGUGGGAACUGGUCUACUACAGGUUUAAUUAUUGAUGUCACACAGAAACUUAUCAAAUAUAGCUUUAAUUUAUAAUAUCUGAUAGGAACUGGCCUAAUACUGGUUGAAUUCUUGAUGUCAAACAUGCAUCUCUCUAAUACAGGUUAUAUUCUUGAUGUCAAAUAGGAGCUGGUAUUAUACAUGUUUUAUAAUCACCAAAGUCUUACGACUACCUCUGCAACGUCUUCAUAUUUUCAUUCGUCUUCCUGUCACGUGACAUGAGAAACGUAACCACGUGUAAUAUUUUAAAUCACGUGUGCAUUUACUUGUUUUCUUCCACGUCCUUGUCAAGCUGUAACAUUUAAAUGUUUCUUAUCUCUGGAGAAACAUUUUACAUUUAUAGACAGAUCAGAAGCACCUCGUUGAAAAACGAAGAGAGAGAGAGAGAGAGAGAGAGAGAGAGAGAGAGAGAGAGAGAGAGAGAGAGAGAGAGAGAGAGAGUAGAGAGAGAGAAAGAGAGAGAGAGAGAGAGAGAGAGAGAGAGAGAGAGAGAGAGAGAGAGAGGUAUGUGUGUGUGUUACGGAUUAAGAUGGCCGAUUGAUUAUAAAUGCUUAAAUAUAUAAAAUACACUCGAGAAUUACAUUAAUUAAAGCGACAAACCCUAGUUUUUAAACACUACGGCGUAUUUUUCACUAUUAGAGCCGUUUUUGAUAAUUGGAAUCAGGUAUUACUGUUAUGUUAUCAUUUAGACUAUCUAUGUCCUUACAUUUGAAGUGUUUAUGGUAAUUCUAUUGUUUCUAACCAUGAACUACAUUUUUUUCAUAUUUAUUAAAGCGCACGUACCUCUGAGAAGUAACGGUUAUGGAAACUAGCUCUAGACAAUUUUUAAGAGUAUUUCCCCGUUUUGACGUCACAGACUCUUGUUUCACUAGGGUGUGCGACUUUAAAAAUACAUUGUAAUGUACAGUCAAAUCGACUUAAUUGCAUAUCAUUUUAUAGAAUAAUUCGGUUAUUUGUAUAUUAUGAUUUUACAACAUUCUUACUGAAAGUUAUAUUAAUUUUCUGAUUUGUUUUUAAAUACAAGCAAACUGACAUGUUUGUUAUCAUUCGAGUCGAAGUUCAUGCUACACCAGACAUUUGUAAAGUUUACUGCCGGUUAUAAUUGGAAAUCGAAGCAGGCCAGAUAAUAGGUUUGACCAGUUAUUAUCAAUAUAUAGGCGGCAUCUAUGAUAUACAAUUAAGUGGGUUUGACCGUUUAUUAUCAAUAUAUAGGCGGCAUCUAUGAUAUACAAUUAAGUGGGUUUGACCAGUUAUUAUCAAUAUAUGGGCGGCAUCUAUGAUAUGCAAUUAAGUGGGUUUGUCUGUAUAUAAAACACAAAUACUCCGUUUACGGCCAUGGACACAAAUAACCCUAAAAUAUUAAAUAAAAAACACAUCCAGUUACUGUGAGUUGAAAUGUUCUGUCAUGUUUUCUACAAAAACGUGCUUAUGUAUUUGUUAAUGUAUCUACCAUAUAUUUACACAAUUUACUACAGAACAUUUUUGUUUUCAUUUUAAUCUUGUUUUUGUUAUGACUUAUUUGCAUGUACAUUUUAGUAUAUUGUGGCCAAUACAUGUGUGCAAUAUGUUACUUUAUAAUGACAUUGAAAAAAAACCCCACAAACAUUUUAAGAAUGUAAAGCCUUAUAUAUCCAUCCUUGUAACAAAACCGAAACAAAAAACAACAGCAGAAACUUGUAUUAUUUUCAUCGUUUGUUUGUUUUAAAUGUUUUUUAUUUUGUAAUAUAAUCUCAUGAAAAUUUGCGGAAAGCAUACGGAAAUACUAGAGUGUUUUCGGAUCGUCAUAUAAAUCCCUCGUGUGAUUCCGACCACCUACAAUAUUACUCGGGUGUUUUCGAAAUUUCACACGAAGUGUCCGUGUACUUUCGAACACCUAUCGGAUUAUUCUGGUGCUUUCGGAAUUUAACACAAUAUAAUAAAAAAAACCUCGCUUCUACAUUAAACAAGAUAAAAUAUCGAAUUUCCGCCCGAACCUUGUAAUACGUGUAUAAGUAGAUUUAUAGGGAACCUUGGUGAGGUGUGAUAAGUCCUAAAGUCCGUUCAUCUGUCGUUCUGCAUGCAAAUACAUUCAGUGCAUUCCCAAGAUAAUUUACGUACACGUCAUUGUUUCAUAUUUACCAAUUGUUUAACAUUGUUCAUGUUGAAAUAUGUCUUUUUUCAAACUUGAAUAAAAUAUCUUUUUCAUA
This 6157-nucleotide long non-coding RNA is filed under the name Gigantopelta aegis. RNAcentral's name for it is "uncharacterized LOC121377231". Lineage: Eukaryota; Metazoa; Mollusca; Gastropoda; Neomphalida; Peltospiridae. The record is from RNAcentral.